Molecule: ribosomal RNA, 484 nt
Filed under: uncultured bacterium
Lineage: Bacteria
Description: partial 16S ribosomal RNA
Rfam family: Bacterial small subunit ribosomal RNA
Source: RNAcentral
AUUGAACGCUGGCGGCAGGCCUAACACAUGCAAGUCGAGCGGAUGAAGGGAGCUUGCUCCUGGAUUCAGCGGCGGACGGGUGAGUAAUGCCUAGGAAUCUGCCUGGUAGUGGGGGAUAACGUCCGGAAACGGGCGCUAAUACCGCAUACGUCCUGAGGGAGAAAGUGGGGGAUCUUCGGACCUCACGCUAUCAGAUGAGCCUAGGUCGGAUUAGCUAGUUGGUGGGGUAAAGGCCUACCAAGGCGACGAUCCGUAACUGGUCUGAGAGGAUGAUCAGUCACACUGUAACUGAGACACGGUCCAGACUCCUACGGGAGGCAGCAGUGGCGAAUAUUUGACAAUGGGCGAAAGCCUGAUCCAGCCAUGCCGCGUGUGUGACGAAGGUCUUCGGAUUGUAAAGCACUUUAAGUUGGGAGGAAGGGCAGUAAGUUAAUACCUUGCUGUUUUGACGUUACCAACAGAAUAAGCACCGGCUAACUUCGUG